GCGCCAUUCAGGAGUUCUUAUACUAAAAUAGAACACAGAAAGGAUUAGCAUGACUCCUGCAUGAGGAUGACAAAUUCAUGAAGCAUUCCAUAUUUGU
RNAcentral lists this small nuclear RNA (97 nucleotides) under Neotoma lepida (desert woodrat). The record is from RNAcentral. Lineage: Eukaryota; Metazoa; Chordata; Mammalia; Rodentia; Cricetidae.